GACGAACGCUGGCGGCGUGCUUAACACAUGCAAGUCGAACGGAAAGGCCCCCAUCUUGGUGGGGGUGCUCGAGUGGCGAACGGGUGAGUAACACGUGGGUGAUCUGCCCUGUACUUCGGGAUAAGCUUGGGAAACUGGGUCUAAUACCGGAUAGGACCAUGGUUUAGUGUCUCAUGGUGGAAAGAUUAUUGUUUUGGUGCAGGAUGAGCUCGCGGCCUAUCAGCUUGUUGGUGGGGUAAUGGCCUACCAAGGCGUCGACGGGUAGCCGGCCUGAGAGGGGGGACGGCCACAUUGGGACUGAGAUACGGCCCAGACUCCUACGGGAGGCAGCAGUGGGGAAUAUUGCACAAUGGGCGCAAGCCUGAUGCAGCGACGCCGCGUGGGGGAUGACGGCCUUCGGGUUGUAAACUCCUUUCGUUAGGGACGAAGCCGCACUUUUUUUGGGUGUGGUGACGGUACCUUUGUUAAGAAGCACCGGCUAACUACGUG
This 489-nucleotide ribosomal RNA is filed under the name uncultured bacterium. RNAcentral describes it as "partial 16S ribosomal RNA". It matches the Rfam family "Bacterial small subunit ribosomal RNA", at positions 28 to 507 of the family's 1533-position model. The record is from RNAcentral.